GGGCCCGCACAAGCGGUGGAGUAUGUGGUUUAAUUCGAUGCAACGCGAAGAACCUUACCAGGGUUUGACAUCCUGCGAAUUUCUGGGAAACCGGAAAGUGCCUUCGGGAGCGCAGUGACAGGUGGUGCAUGGCUGUCGUCAGCUCGUGUCGUGAGAUGUUGGGUUAAGUCCCGCAACGAGCGCAACCCACGUCUUUAGUUGCCAGCAUUUAGUUGGGCACUCUGAAAGAACUGCCAGUGAUAAGCUGGAGGAAGGUGGGGAUGACGUCAAGUCCUCAUGGCCCUUACGUGUUGGGCUACACACGUGCUACAAUGGCAUUUACAAUAGGAAGCAAGAUGGCGACGUCAAGCAAAUCCUAAAAAGAUGCUC
This 369-nucleotide ribosomal RNA is filed under the name uncultured bacterium. RNAcentral's name for it is "bacterial SSU rRNA". It matches the Rfam family "Bacterial small subunit ribosomal RNA", at positions 917 to 1288 of the family's 1533-position model. The record is from RNAcentral.